UACAGAGGGGGCAAGCGUUAUUCGGAAUUAUUGGGCGUAAAGGGCGCGUAGGCGGCUUUGCAAGUGACGGGUGAAAUCCCUCGGCUUAACAGAUGGGCUGCGGAGGAUACUAUAGAGCUAGGAGGCGGGAGAGGCAAGCGGUACUCAGUGGGUAGGGGUAAAAUCCGUUGAUCCAUUGAAGACCACCAGUGGCGAAGGCGGCUUGCCAGAACGCACUCGACGGUGAGGGAUGAAAGCUGGGGGAGCAAACCGG
RNAcentral lists this ribosomal RNA (253 nucleotides) under uncultured bacterium. Its description in RNAcentral is "partial 16S ribosomal RNA". It matches the Rfam family "Bacterial small subunit ribosomal RNA", at positions 524 to 776 of the family's 1533-position model. The record is from RNAcentral.